This 335-nucleotide long non-coding RNA is filed under the name Acanthaster planci (crown-of-thorns starfish). Its description in RNAcentral is "uncharacterized LOC110976782, transcript variant X2". The record is from RNAcentral. Lineage: Eukaryota; Metazoa; Echinodermata; Asteroidea; Valvatida; Acanthasteridae.
AACAUCUUGUUUCAACUGUCUUCACUCCGAUAGAAACUCCAGGGAAAUGAAAAUGAUAAAAUGAAGCCCAGCAAUCCGCUUAGGAAUGUGAUCCGCAACGGAGCCGCGGGCAACACGUGACCCCAAGAACUUGACCAAUGGAAGACCAGCAUUGUUGGGCUUACUUUUCGUGCAUCAACGCGUCGUUGUGAGGGUGGCUACGAAUAGGUCUACUGCACACCACGCAGGUGAACCCUUCAUGAACAUGCGGCAAGCAACCUAACGGUACAAGCAAUUUAACCGUCGAUUUCUGUGUGCAUAGAAGGAAGGUUCCUACCUUUCGCAUCCAGUCCUGG